RNAcentral lists this ribosomal RNA (1386 nucleotides) under uncultured bacterium. Its description in RNAcentral is "bacterial SSU rRNA". It matches the Rfam family "Bacterial small subunit ribosomal RNA", at positions 28 to 1393 of the family's 1533-position model. The record is from RNAcentral.
GAUGAACGCUGGCGGCGUGGAUAAGGCAUGCAAGUCGAACGAACUUUUUAUUUCCAGAGAUUGAGAUUAUAUCAAGAUCAAAGGUCGUUUAAAGUUAGUGGCGAACGGGGUAGUAACACAUGGGAACUUAACUAGAAGUCAGGAAUAGCCGAUCGAAAGGUCGAUUAAUACUUGAUAGUCCCUCCGGGGUAAAGAUUUAUCGCUUCUAGAGAGGCCUGUGUAGUAUCAGCUAGUUGGUAGGGUAAUGGCCUACCAAGGCUAUGACGCUUAGGGGAGCUGAGAGGCUGACCCCCACCAUUGGAACUGCGACACGGUCCAAACUCCUACGGGAGGCUGCAGUCGAGAAUCUUCCGCAAUGCGCGAAAGCGUGACGGAGCGACGCCGCGUGAUUGAUGACGCCCUUCGGGGUGUAAAGAUCUUUUAUGAGGGAGGAAAUUUUUGACGUUACCUCAUGAAUAAGGGGCUCCCAAUCUCGUGCCAGCAGGAGCGGUAAUACGAGAGCCCCAAGUGUUAUCCGGAAUUAUUGGGCGUAAAGGGUGCGUAGGUGGUUUGGUUAGUCUUUCGUUAAAUCUCCGGGCUUAACCCGGAAACCGCGAAAGAAACGGCCAGACUAGAGGUUGUGCGGGGUGUAUGGAACUCAUGGAGUAGGGGUGAAAUCCGUUGAUAUCAUGGGGAACACCAAAAGCGAAGGCAGUACACUGGCACAAAUCUGACACUGAGGCACGAAACCUAGGGUAGCGAAUGGGAUUAGAUACCCCAGUAGUCCUAGGCCUAAACGAUGUUCUCUUGCUUUCGGGAGUAUCGACCCUCUCGGAGGCGAAGCAAACGCGUUAAGAGAACCGCCUGGGAAGUACGGCCGCAAGGCUAAAACUCAAAGGAAUAGACGGGGACUCGCACAAGCAGUGGAUUAUGUGGUUUAAUUCGAUGAUAAACGAAGAACCUCACCCAGACUAGAAAUCUACACGACAGAACGCCGAAAGGUGUUCCUUCUUCGGACGGGUAGACAGGUGAUGCAUGGCCGUCGUCAGUUCGUGGUUUGAAUUGUACCCUUAAGUGGGCUAACGAACGCAACCCUCGUCGUGUGUUACAAGUGUCACGCGAGACUGCCUAGCCCUUUGCGCACAAAUGGAAGUAUCCAUUUGUGAAUAAAGGGCUGGGAGGAAGGAGAGGAUGACGCCAGGUCAGCAUGUCCCUUGAUGUCUGGGGCUACACACAUAAUACAAUGGGUGGGACAGUGGGUCGCGAUGGAGUAAUCCGGAGCCAAUCCCCCAAACCCAUCCUUAGUUCGGAUAGAGGUCUGAAACUCGACCUCUUGAAGUUGGAAUUGCUAGUAAUCGCGGAUCAGCUAGCCGCGGUGAAUACGUUCUCGAGUCUUGUACACACCGC